UUAGGUGGGGUUUUUUAAUAGAUUUGUUGGUGAGGGAUAUGGGUACCCAUGGAUCCCCACCAACCAGGAUACUGGCCGGUCCUGACAAGUUGGCCAAGGACAUGAAGAUACUUAGAGUACACGUCAAGGAGGUCGAGUGAUUCAAAUCAGCUCGGAUAUUGCGGGAUACGUAUUGUAAUCCAACUCAGAUCACCUUCCAUGUAACAACUGAGUAGAUUAGAUUCAAACCGACUUGUAACCCUAGGUCGUCAGCCUAUAUAAGGCGGCCAAGGGUGCCUCCCAAGGGCAAUCCAAUCCAAUCUGUAAACCACGCACUAAUGCAAAGGAAUAUAAACCACCAGCAUACAGGACGUAGGGUAUUACUCUUCGGAGGCCUGAACCUGUCUAAACCCUUGUGUUCUCGUGAUCACCUUCGAGUUCUUUAUCUCGCGAUCGUCUCUGCCUACAAAUCCAUAGGCAACUCCUCCAGGUGAGGCUCGGCUCUAGCUCCCUCACUAGAUACCUGCUCGACCUCGGAGUUGACCACAGCAGCGUCCGCAGCCUCGGAGCCGACUACGCCUUGUUGCGGCAUCGAAUUUGGUACAACUUCUUCGGUGUGACCAUCUGUUCAAUAGUGUGGCUGCUCGUCCCCUCGGUUUGGGUCAAGCAACCAGUGAGCUGCGCACCACAUUCAUCAUCUAGCACGGCAUUCCUGCAUUGUCAAUGCAAGAAGCAAUUUAUACAGGAAAGGCAGCAAAGCAACCACGACAGGUAGCAAAGCAACCACAAGACAAACAGUAUAACCAUAUUGCACUUACAUGGUGCUCUUCUUCACCCAGAACUUGGGGCCUUGAAACAUCUCCACUAGACCCCCGCGGAUCUUUGCCUUCAACAUCUACCUGACCCGCUCCAUGUCGGCCACGCUCUUCUCAAGGAGCUCUGAAUUUUUCUUCUCGGUUGUCGGGCUUGCUUGACUCCUCGUAUGCUUUGCUGGCCGACUUGGCUGCUAAAGCUGUGCUCGGGGCAGUCUUCUCCUUCUUGCUAGCCAUCUUUCUCUUGCCGCUCGGCUUCUAAAUUUGGGAGGACGCAAGCUUCUUCACGACCUGCCGUGUCCGGCAUCCCACUGGUUCGAAGCCCUCGGCCUGGCCGACCUCUUCCGGCACACUCUCAUCAGACCCGAUGGAGUAGUCUGAUUCCCAAUCAAGGCUGGCAGGCAGCUGGUCAAACUCGUCGAUCGGGCGAAACUUGGGUCGUUGUUGCUCAGCACCUCUAGGAAGUGGUGCCGGGCAAAAGAAUUCAAAUUUGCCAUUCUGGUUACUCAACACGAAUAGUCAGAGACAACACAACAGCAAAAUAGAAAUGCCAAAUGAAUGUGGUUAAAAUCAUACCAGGUUGGCUGGCCUCUUGAGGGAAUAUGCUUUGUGGCGGCUAUUGUUCCUUAUAAGGCCACCAAAAAACUCGAACACCCGGUUGGCAACUUCUUCCUUGGUCACCUUUCGCUGGACCUCCCAGGUCGGAUCAAGUGGCCCUGUAUACUCAUACACCGGAUGGACCCUACUCUUGAUCAGCUGUGUCAAUCUCUAAUAGAAAUUGAUGCUUACAGCCCAGGCUAUGAGUCCAUGCACCUUCAAGUUGGCGAUCUUCUCUAGCAGCUGCUUCACUUGCACCUGCUCCUUCGAGGUUGGCUGGUUCGACCACUCGGGCAUGGUAACUGGCCUGUAUCCAGUACGCGGCGGGAGCUCAGGCUGCUGAUUGGCGACUGUGAACCACUCCUUGUGCUAGGCCUUGUUGGAUUCCUUCAACUAGAGGUCGAAGUACUCAUGGACUCUCUUAGGCUGCAAAGAAAAUCCACAUCCCCAAAUCACUCUGAGCUUCCCCUUGGUUGACACAACUUUCAACUGGUAGAAGUACUUCCACGGAUCAAAAUGCGGAGGAAUGCCUUAGUAUGCCUCACACAGAUGGAUGAAGAUAGUGAUAUCCAAAAUCAAGUUGGGGUUGAGAUGUACCAGUCCGAAUCUUGUAGUAAUGCAGCAACCUGCAAAAAGAAGUCCCUGCAUGGGAUCUCGAAUCCGCGCUCAAAAAUGAUACGAAGACCAUUAUCUUCAUCUUGUCCUUAGUAGGGAAAUCCUGCCCAGCGGUCACCUUAUAGUCGAGUAGCCCCUUGGGCUCGAGGAGACCCCAGUUGACAAGCGCCUGGAUGCGCUCCUCCGUCAUCAUGAAUUUCAUCCAAAUUGAGGAUGGAUCCAGUAUCUGUGCCUAGGCCAUUUCCUCAGUUUCUACUCCUUGCGAUUUGGAUCUAAUAACCGCUAGGGUUUUGAUGCGCAUACGGUGGUGCGGUGGCCUAGGCGGUGACGAAGUGUGCGUGAGCAAAUUGAAAAUCACGGCGGCGCAGCCUAGGGUUCACGAGCAUGGUGGCGAUGUGCUCUGUGGAGUGUGGCGGAUGGAAAUGAAAACGGAUCUGAGCCCUUGGGCUUUUGAAGGACGUGAAAAUGUAACCCUAGUGACAGAAUCUGCGUGUUUUCCAUUAUUAUGGCGUACGCGUCGGACGGAAUCCAUGGGUUUUCCAUUAUGUUUUCAAAGACGUGCCUCUGUGGCUCCAUCGCUCCUCGAUCUCAGGGGCUAGACACCUAUUUCAAGUCGGUGUGCCUCCUACCUCCGCCAGUCCUUGUCCUCGGGGGCUGGGCGCCUCUUUCAGGUCGGCGUGCCUCCGUGGCUCCGCCAGUCCUCGUCCUCGGGGGCUGGGUGCCUCUUCUAGAUUGGCAUGCCUCUGUGGCUCCGCUAUUUCUCAUCCUCAGGGGUUGGCCACCUACUUCUGGUCAACGUGCCUUCGUUGCUCCACCAGUACUUGUCCUCGGGGGCUGGGCGCCUACUUCUGGUCGAUGUGCCUUUGUUGCUUCACCAAUCCUCAUCCUCGGGGGCUGGGUGCCUGCUUCUGGUCGGCGUGCCUCCGUUGCUUCGCCUAUCCUUAUGUUCAGGCACUAGGAUCUGCUUCUGCGAUCUAUUUUUUCUUUUAUGCCCAUUGGACCGAUUAUACUAAUCGCUUCAAUACUCGCGGGCUACUCCUAUGGAGUGCGUCUUGCAACACCCUUCAUGUCCUUCUCUUUGACCUACUAGAUGCCCAACAUCCAUCAACUCGGCACUCGACUUCGCUCUGCACAUAUGGCUCUGCAUUCACUCGGAUUUACUUCUUUUUUGAGCACUACGCAGCCUCUCUGUCACUGUGAUGCCAUCGCAGCCAACUUCAUUUCAAGCUUGGUUGCGGAGGCUUGAGGGAUAUGGGUACCCCAUGGGUCCCCACCAACCAGGAUACUGGCCGAUCUUGAUAAGUGGGCCCACCCAACCAGAACGUGCGGACCAAGGACAUGGAGAUACUUGGAGUACACGUCAAGGAGGCCAGGCGAUUCAAAUCAGCCUGGAUAUUGCGGGAUACGUAUUGUAAUCCAACUCAGAUCACCUUCCAUGUAACAACUGAGUAGAUUAGAUUCAAACCGACUUGUAACCCUAGGUCGUCA
Molecule: long non-coding RNA, 3491 nt
Filed under: Setaria italica (foxtail millet)
Lineage: Eukaryota; Viridiplantae; Streptophyta; Magnoliopsida; Poales; Poaceae
Description: long non-coding RNA (SITA_LNC005991)
Source: RNAcentral